CCUACGGGUGGCAGCAGUGAGGAAUAUUGGUCAAUGGACGCAAGCCUGAACCAGCCAUGUCGCGUGCAGGAUGACGGCUCUAUGAGUUGUAAACUUCUUUUGUAAGAGGGUAAAGUGAGGUACGCGUCCCUGUUUGAAUGUACCUUAUGAAUAAGGAUCGGCUAACUCCGUGCCAGCAGCCGCGGUAAUACGGAGGAUCCGAGCGUUAUCCGGAUUUAUUGGGUUUAAAGGGUGCGUAGGCGGUCGGUUAAGUUAGAGGUGAAAUUCUGAGGCUCAACUUCGGAAUUGCCUUUGAUACUGGUCGGCUAGAGAAUAGUUGAGGUAGGCGGAAUGUGUGGUGUAGCGGUGAAAUGCUUAGAGAUCAUGCAGAACACCGAUUGCGAAGGCAGCUUACCAAGCUACUACUGACGUUGAGGCACGAAAGCGUGGGGAUCAAACAGGAUUAGAUACCCUGGUAGUC
This 460-nucleotide ribosomal RNA is filed under the name uncultured bacterium. RNAcentral describes it as "partial 16S ribosomal RNA". It matches the Rfam family "Bacterial small subunit ribosomal RNA", at positions 338 to 795 of the family's 1533-position model. The record is from RNAcentral.